Molecule: ribosomal RNA, 482 nt
Filed under: uncultured bacterium
Lineage: Bacteria
Description: partial 16S ribosomal RNA
Rfam family: Bacterial small subunit ribosomal RNA
Source: RNAcentral
GAUGAACGCUGGCGGCGUGCCUAAUACAUGCAAGUCGAACGCUUCACUUCGGUGAAGAGUGGCGAACGGGUGAGUAAUACAUAAGUAACCUGGCAUCUACAGGGGGAUAACUGAUGGAAACGUCAGCUAAGACCGCAUAGGUGUAGAGAUCGCAUGAACUCUAUAUGAAAAGUGCUACGGGACUGGUAGAUGAUGGACUUAUGGCGCAUUAGCUUGUUGGUAGGGUAACGGCCUACCAAGGCGACGAUGCGUAGCCGACCUGAGAGGGUGACCGGCCACACUGGGACUGAGACACGGCCCAGACUCCUACGGGAGGCAGCAGUAGGGAAUUUUCGGCAAUGGGGGAAACCCUGACCGAGCAACGCCGCGUGAAGGAAGAAGUAAUUCGUUAUGUAAACUUCUGUCAUAGAGGAAGAACGGCGGAUAUAGGGAAUGAUAUCCAAGUGACGGUACUCUAUAAGAAAGCCACGGCUAACUACGUG